AUUGAACGCUGGCGGCAUGCCUAACACAUGCAAGUCGAACGGAGGUAGGGGCAACUCUACUUCAGUGGCGGACGGGUGAGGAAUGCGUCGGAAUCUACCCUAUGGUGGGGAGUAACACAGGGAAACUUGUGCUAAUACCGCAUGAUGUCGAGAGACCAAAGCAGGGGACCGGCAAGGCCUUGCGCGAUAGGAUGAGCCGACGCCCGAUUAGCUAGUUGGUAGGGUAAUGGCCUACCAAGGCGACGAUCGGUAGCUGGUCUGAGAGGAUGAUCAGCCACACUGGGACUGAGACACGGCCCAGACUCCUACGGGAGGCAGCAGUGGGGAAUAUUGGACAAUGGGCGAAAGCCUGAUCCAGCCAUGCCGCGUGAGUGAUGAAGGCCUUAGGGUUGUAAAGCUCUUUCAGUGGGGAAGAUAAUGACGGUACCCACAGAAGAAGCCCCGGCUAACUUCGUGCCAGCAGCCGCGGUAAUGUCGAUA
Molecule: ribosomal RNA, 480 nt
Filed under: uncultured bacterium
Lineage: Bacteria
Description: bacterial SSU rRNA
Rfam family: Bacterial small subunit ribosomal RNA
Source: RNAcentral